CAGUAGGUUGUGCGGCAACGAAGUCAAAUCUAUCGGUCAUUUGCUUGUUGGAUGCACACUUAACAGAUUUUUGAGGUUAAAAUCCUAGAAGGUAGGCACAUUCCAUGCUUUGUGGUGGAGGUUAGGGGUGUACGGGAGUUUUUGUUGGGGAACAGCACCGAAGGAACAACAGCGAAGGACCUGGCUUCGGUUGCAGCUUGUUGGUGGACGAUUUAGCGGGAAAGAAAAAAUAUGAUUAUUCAGAACCAAUCAUUAGACCCCUUAGUGGCUGCUAGACGGCUUCGAGAUGUGGAGAGAGAUUGGAUUGAGUUUUACAGUACUAACUGUUAGUGUAGAUUGUAAUAGUGGAAGUAAGAUUCGUGAAUAGUUGUGUCUCUUCAUAAAGUAGUUAUUUUUAUAAAAAGAUUCGUCUUUUCAUUGAUGUAAAGAUAUGUCUCUUCACGAAGAGAUAUAUUUCUUCACGAAGAGAUAUAUUUCUUCACGAAGAGAUAUGAACCUUUUGUGAAAGAAUAUGUAUUUUCGUUAUUUGUGAAAGGAUGUGUCCUUUUGUAAAAGAAUAUAACUUUAAAGUUGUGUUCUUUCAUCGUGACCAUUCAUCUUCUAUAAAUAGGAAAUGUUUGAAGACUUUAAGGGUAACAUAAUCAAUACUUUCUCCUUCCUAAUUUUUUAUAUUGAUUUUUAAGAGAGAAGUUCUUAAGGAAAAGUCUUCAAAAGUGCUGUUUGUAGUCUUUCGACAGUCUUGUUGUAUCCUGGAGGUGAUUUGCUGGUAAUCCGACAGCAUACAUUCUAGUGGGGGCAAAUAUUACCUUAAAGAAAGUGAACUUAUACGCCUCAAGACCAUAAUUUACUUGAUCUCCAUUCAUAUUCCCCAACACUAAUUGAUGUAUUUCGAAUUAGUGAUGUAAUCUCUAUAUUAUUUAUUUCUAUUUUUUCCUUCCUCUGUCACCUUUCACUUUCUCAAGGCUCCAUUGCCUCAAUUUCUACAGCUAAAUUUAUUUUUCAAAUAAAUAAAACGGAUAGCGUGUUAUCUUAUCUUAUCUUAAACAACGAGGACUCGUUGCUUGAUUAUUAUCCCUUAAUAACUUUGUCCCUUUUUAAACUUUCGUCCUUUAACCUUGUUUCUAUUUUUUCUACUAUUAGAUUUCUA
RNAcentral lists this long non-coding RNA (1147 nucleotides) under Ananas comosus (pineapple). RNAcentral's name for it is "long non-coding RNA (ACOM_LNC017872)". The record is from RNAcentral. Lineage: Eukaryota; Viridiplantae; Streptophyta; Magnoliopsida; Poales; Bromeliaceae.